AUUGAACGCUGGCGGCAGGCCUAACACAUGCAAGUCGAGCGGAUGAGGGGAGCUUGCUCCUGGAUUCAGCGGCGGACGGGUGAGUAAUUCCUAGGAAUCUGCCUGGUAGUGGGGGAUAACGUCCGUAAACGGGCGCUAAUACCGCAUACGUCCUGAGGUAGAAAGUGGGGGAUCUUCGGACCUCACGCUAUCAGAUGAGCCUAGGUCGGAUUAGCUAGUUGGUGGGGUAAAGGCCUACCAAGGCGACGAUCCGUAACUGGUCUGAGAGGAUGAUCAGUCACACUGGAACUGAGACACGGUCCAGACUCCUACGGGAGGCAGCAGUGGGGAAUAUUGGACAAUGGGCGAAAGCCUGAUCCAGCCAUGCCGCGUGUGUGAAGAAGGUCUUCGGAUUGUAAAGCACUUUAAGUUGGGAGGAAGGGCAGUAAGUUAAUACCUGGCUGUUUUGACGUUACCAACAGAAUAAGCACCGGCUAACUUCGUG
Molecule: ribosomal RNA, 484 nt
Filed under: uncultured bacterium
Lineage: Bacteria
Description: partial 16S ribosomal RNA
Rfam family: Bacterial small subunit ribosomal RNA
Source: RNAcentral